GUGAACCUGCGGAAGGAUCAUUAU
RNAcentral lists this ribosomal RNA (24 nucleotides) under Leucoagaricus viridariorum. RNAcentral's name for it is "partial 18S ribosomal RNA". The record is from RNAcentral. Lineage: Eukaryota; Fungi; Basidiomycota; Agaricomycetes; Agaricales; Agaricaceae.